AAGGUGAAUAAUCAUCCACUCCACGAGGUCCGUCGUCGUAUCCUGCUGGAACGUGUGCAUUUCCUCAAGGCAGAGGGGGCCGUGAAGCUACAGAUGACCUGAGUCUUUGGAGUGAACCCCCCAGAGGACAUUUGCCCCUACCCUAAGUUCAUCCACAAGGGUAUGAAUUAUACAGAUAUACACCAGGGAGCUUUAGGUGACUGCUGGUUCCUGGCUGCAGCUGCAUCCCUCGCUCUGCACCCACAGCUGAUGCAGAGGGUGGUACCAGCAGGGCAAAGUUUUGACCUAGGGGAUUAUGCUGGCAUCUUCCAUUUUCAAUUCUGGCAGUAUGGGAAGUGGGUGGAUGUG
Molecule: long non-coding RNA, 348 nt
Organism: Trachemys scripta elegans
Lineage: Eukaryota; Metazoa; Chordata; Testudines; Emydidae
Exons: 4
Source: RefSeq, a predicted model, not a curated record